GGUUAGAUAGGCGAUUGAUUACAAGUUUCCAUUCUGUAUAUUCUGUGGCUAUAUUCCAAGUUUUGUUGCAAUCCAUCCUGUAGUUUUCGAGAAAUCGUGAUCAGUGAGUUGCAGCCAUCUAUGUGAGAUUUGAUUGGUCAUUCUGAAGGUGCGUACAGACUCUCGCUCUGCUCUGCAACCGAACGUCACUCCAGCAGAGCGAUUGAUGAUCGACCGGGGAGCAACAAUGGUUCGACCGGGGAACGCGAGAAGAUCUAACAUCUUCCGUAACGUUCAUGAUGGGUGCGUGGGCGGCGCGACUGUAGUUCGAUGGAGGAACGAGGGCGGUACGAGGGAGGAGCGUGCUCGGUGCGGGUUGGAAGAGCGUAUAUGUGUACGCAUCUUGAGAAGCAUCAGCCCUAAGCCUAGAAAAACAUAAUUGGCCUUUUUUCAAUACAAAAACUAAGGUAUUUUGAGUGAAAUAUAUGAAUUGUCAUUACAAACCUCUGAGCACCAGAUCAUUAAGUUGAGCUCGUGAAUAGUGAGUGAAAUUGCAGUGUUCUCCAUAGUGACAUUCCCCUGUCUGCAUAAAUUUCCGGCACUCAACUUUAGUUGUCUCUUCUUGGACAAUUGUUUUCAAAUCUAAAAAUUAAAAGACAAUUUCAAGUCAACGAAUAUAAAAAAGUACAAUAGAAUAUAAAAGAGUACAAUAGAAUAUCAUAAAAAUAAUUGUAGCCUACUUCUAUUGGAGAAUAGGUAAGCCAAUGCCUCUUGCCAAAUAAAUAAGUAGGCUAGUAUAAAGAUGGGAAUAAAUGUUAUAACUUACA
Molecule: long non-coding RNA, 806 nt
Filed under: Nilaparvata lugens (brown planthopper)
Lineage: Eukaryota; Metazoa; Arthropoda; Insecta; Hemiptera; Delphacidae
Description: uncharacterized LOC120350432, transcript variant X2
Source: RNAcentral